AUGCUUCUCCUAAAGACUAAGCCAUGCAUGUCUUCGAAUAAGAGGAAGCAAUUCUCUCUGAAUCUGCGAACGGCUCCGCAAACCAGUUGUAAACUAUAGCAAGUUCGCCCGGGCUUCCCCUUCACGGGGGGGGUUCGGCUAUACGGAUAACCCUGGUAAUUCUGAGGCUAAUACGAGAACGUACUCCCUGGCUGACCGGGCAACUGGAAGGCUGGGGGACGUGCGAGUGUUUUCGCGAUUUAUACCGGGAAAGGACG
This 257-nucleotide ribosomal RNA is filed under the name uncultured Diachea. RNAcentral's name for it is "partial 18S ribosomal RNA". It matches the Rfam family "Eukaryotic small subunit ribosomal RNA", at positions 28 to 241 of the family's 1831-position model. The record is from RNAcentral. Lineage: Eukaryota; Evosea; Eumycetozoa; Stemonitida; Stemonitidae.